RNAcentral lists this ribosomal RNA (520 nucleotides) under uncultured Glomeromycotina. RNAcentral describes it as "SSU rRNA". It matches the Rfam family "Eukaryotic small subunit ribosomal RNA", at positions 569 to 1090 of the family's 1831-position model. Lineage: Eukaryota; Fungi; Glomeromycota. The record is from RNAcentral.
AGCAGCCGCGGUAAUUCCAGCUCCAAUAGCGUAUAUUAAAGUUGUUGCAGUUAAAAAGCUCGUAGUUGAAUUUCGGGAUUAGUAAGUUGGUCGUGCCUCUGGUAUGUACUGGCUUUACUGGUUCCUCCUUCUUGAAGAACUGUAAUGUCAUUAAUUUGGUGUUGCAGUGAAACAGGACUGUUACUUUGAAAAAAUUAGAGUGUUUAAAGCAGGCUAACGCUUGAAUACAAUAGCAUGGAAUAAUGAAAUAGGACGUUUGAUCCUAUUUUGUUGGUUUCUAGGAUUGACGUAAUGAUUAAUAGGGAUAGUUGGGGGCAUUAGUAUUCAAUUGUCAGAGGUGAAAUUCUUGGAUUUAUUGAAGACUAACUACUGCGAAAGCAUUUGCCAAGGAUGUUUUCAUUAAUCAAGAACGAAAGUUAGGGGAUCGAAGACGAUCAGAUACCGUCGUAGUCUUAACCAUAAACUAUGCCGACUAGGGAUCGGAUGAUGUUAAUUUUUUAAUGACUCAUUCGGCGCCUUA